CCUACGGGAGGCAGCAGUGGGGAAUAUUGGGCAAUGUGCGCAAGCCUGACCCAGCAACGCCGCGUGAAGGAAGAAGGCUUUCGGGUUGUAAACUUCUUUUGUCAGGGACGAAGCAAGUGACGGUACCUGACGAAUAAGCCACGGCUAACUACGUGCCAGCAGCCGCGGUAAUACGUAGGUGGCAAGCGUUAUCCGGAUUUAUUGGGUGUAAAGGGCGUGUAGGUGGGAAUGCAAGUCAGAUGUGAAAACUAUGGGCUCAACCCAUAGCCUGCAUUUGAAACUGUAUUUCUUGAGUACUGGAGAGGCAAUCGGAAUUCCGUGUGUAGCGGUGAAAUGCAUAGAUAUACGGAGGAACACCAGUGGCGAAGGCGGAUUGCUGGACAGUAACUGACGCUGAGGCGCGAAAGCGUGGGGAGCAAACAGGAUUAGAUACCCUUGUAGUC
This 443-nucleotide ribosomal RNA is filed under the name uncultured bacterium. Its description in RNAcentral is "partial 16S ribosomal RNA". It matches the Rfam family "Bacterial small subunit ribosomal RNA", at positions 338 to 795 of the family's 1533-position model. The record is from RNAcentral.